CUACCCUUCUUGGUCUGGUGCUCCAGAACUUCAAAGAUUCUUUUCUUUUUCCUAUUUUACCCUCUUUUUUGGCAGAUAAAAAUCUAGAGACAAAGGAGAGUCUAGAAAUUUACUCUAGGUUCUACACUAUUAUCUUAAUUCCACUUCUUCCAAUAAAAAUCUACUUCCUUAACAUUUUAUUUUAAUAUAGGCUUGUCUUAAAACUUAAGAUUCCCAAUAAAUUAAAAG
This 228-nucleotide unclassified non-coding RNA is filed under the name Hevea brasiliensis (rubber tree). Lineage: Eukaryota; Viridiplantae; Streptophyta; Magnoliopsida; Malpighiales; Euphorbiaceae. The record is from RNAcentral.